Molecule: non-coding RNA, 1304 nt
Organism: Nothobranchius furzeri (turquoise killifish)
Lineage: Eukaryota; Metazoa; Chordata; Actinopteri; Cyprinodontiformes; Nothobranchiidae
Source: RefSeq, a predicted model, not a curated record
CCUGAGGAGGAGGAGUAAAGUUAGUGCCUUCACGGAGCUUUGCUUCCCAACACCCGGAAGUCUUUCCCUGGAUCUGAGCGGGCUUCCUCUAAAAGGUUUAGAAGCACGCUAACGCGCCAUCGCUUACUCCACAAAUCCAAACUUGAAGACGUGGGGAGGACACUAACCCAGGGGGCGGAGCCUGUUCACACAGAACCCGACCCGUGUCCAUGUCAGGACCGGUCCUCACCUGGUCGUCCUGCAGCGUCUCCUCGCAGCCCUCCAGAGCCGAACACAUGGUGUCGCUGCACUGAGGACACACCCAGACCAGGUCUCGCAUCGUCUGGACCACCGCUGAGGACGGAUGGGGCGCUGGUCAGACAUGUUGCUUCAGGGGGACAGGUGUGUGUCCCCGUGCUCUGAUGGAGCCUUACCUGAGGUUAUGUGCUCCUGUUUGAGUGUGAGAAGGCCCGUCAGGAUCUCCAGACUCCGGUCGCUGUAGCUGCGCCCGAUGUGCCCUUAACAGGAAGCAGAGAGACGUUUAAACUUCUACGAUCAGGCGUUACUCUGGGUGAGUCUCCAGAAGCAGGUCUGGUUCUGUCAGCAGAAGCUAACCCUAACCGAUGGCUGCGAUGGCGGUCUGAGCGGUGUCCAUGCUGACAUCAGUGCAGUAUCCCUUCAGCUCGUCCAGUAACAUCCCAACAUUGUCAUCGUUCACCAGCUCCACCAGCACCUGCAGAGCACCGUCCAGACUUCAGCCGUGUCAGCUCAUUUGGAAGUGAAUCCAUUCAUUAGAGCAACAUGAUCCUUCAGAGCACACACCUGCAUCUUCCUCUGCUUGAUGAAGGCCGGCUCGGCGUAGCCACAGAAGAAGCGCUUGUAGUGCUCCCCCAGCAGGCCGGGGACAGAGCGCAGCAGCAGCUGCAGCAAACAGGUUUAUUAUUAAUGGAAACCUUUAAGCCCUUAUGGAUUCACCCAACCAAUCAUCACAGAUCAAGCCAAUCACACACCGUGCCAUGGCACUGUUCCACCAACCAGCACGGGGCCAGAUCUUGGUGAGGAGUGCCUUCCUGCAGCUUGGCGUCCUCUCCUGUUUACGGUUGGAUCUGUAGAACUAACAGCGCCCGGUCCACAAGGUGGUCCGGUUGUAGGGAUGCACCGAUACGAUACUGGUAUCGGUAAAAGUUAACCGAUACCAAUGCAGUUGCUUGUCACUGUCACUGUCAUUUCUGUUCACCUAAUAUUUUAGUUUUGUGAUGUUUUACGUUUUAUCGACCUCACGGUCUUUUCCUGUUAGAAGAAAAUAAAACCUGUGUUCCAAAUCA